GCGGNUGUGGUGGAANUGGUAGACACGUCAGACUUAGGAUCUGAUGCCGCGAGGUGUGCAGGUUCGAUUCCUGUCAUCCGCACAA
This 85-nucleotide transfer RNA is filed under the name Aequorivita sp. Its description in RNAcentral is "tRNA-Leu". It matches the Rfam family "tRNA". From Rfam's summary of the family: Transfer RNA (tRNA) molecules are approximately 80 nucleotides in length. Their secondary structure includes four short double-helical elements and three loops (D, anti-codon, and T loops). The record is from RNAcentral. Lineage: Bacteria; Pseudomonadati; Bacteroidota; Flavobacteriia; Flavobacteriales; Flavobacteriaceae.